RNAcentral lists this ribosomal RNA (522 nucleotides) under uncultured bacterium. RNAcentral's name for it is "bacterial SSU rRNA". It matches the Rfam family "Bacterial small subunit ribosomal RNA", at positions 8 to 518 of the family's 1533-position model. The record is from RNAcentral.
AGAGUUUGAUUAUGGCUCAGGAUGAACGCUAGCUACAGGCUUAACACAUGCAAGUCGAGGGGCAGCAUGGGAGUUGCUUGCAAUUCCUGAUGGCGACCGGCGCACGGGUGAGUAACGCGUAUCCAACCUUCCCCUUAGUAGGGCAUAGCCCGGUGAAAAUCGGAUUAAUACCCUAUGUUUUCCAAUGCAGACAUCUAAAAUGGAACAAAGGUUUACCGCUAAGGGAUGGGGAUGCGUCUGAUUAGGUAGUAGGCGGGGUAACGGCCCACCUAGCCUUCGAUCAGUAGGGGUUCUGAGAGGAAGGUCCCCCACAUUGGAACUGAGACACGGUCCAAACUCCUACGGGAGGCAGCAGUGAGGAAUAUUGGUCAAUGGGCGAGAGCCUGAACCAGCCAAGUAGCCGUGCAGGAUGACGGCCCUAUGGGUUGUAAACUGCUUUUAUAUGGGGAUAAAGUUCACCACGUGUGGUGUUUUGUAGGUACCAUAUGAAUAAGGACCGGCUAAUUCCGUGCCAGCCGCCGC